GGGGGGGGCGGGGGGCGGGGCGAGCGCAUGCGGGGCGGGCGGGGGGGGGGGGGGUGCGCCGGGGUGCAGCGGCGGACGGGUGGGUAAUGCCUAGGAAUCUGCCUGGUAGUGGGGGAUGACGUCCGGAAACGGGCGCUAAUACCGCAUACGUCCUGAGGGAGAAAGUGGGUGAUCUUCGGACCUCACGCUAUCAGAUGAGCCUAGGUCGGAUUAGCUAGUUGGUGGGGUAAAGGCCUACCAAGGCGACGAUCCGUAACUGGUCUGAGAGGAUGAUCAGUCACACUGGAACUGAGACACGGUCCAGGCUCCUACGGGAGGCAGCAGUGGGGAAUAUUGGACAAUGGGCGAAAGCCUGAUCCAGCCAUGCCGCGUGUGUGAAGAAGGUCUUCGGAUUGUAAAGCACUUUAAGUUGGGAGGAAGGGCAGUAAGUUAAUACCUUGCUGUUUUGACGUUACCAACAGAAUAAGCACCGGCUAACUUCGUG
This 484-nucleotide ribosomal RNA is filed under the name uncultured bacterium. Its description in RNAcentral is "partial 16S ribosomal RNA". It matches the Rfam family "Bacterial small subunit ribosomal RNA", at positions 35 to 507 of the family's 1533-position model. The record is from RNAcentral.